This 445-nucleotide ribosomal RNA is filed under the name uncultured bacterium. RNAcentral's name for it is "partial 16S ribosomal RNA". It matches the Rfam family "Bacterial small subunit ribosomal RNA", at positions 354 to 796 of the family's 1533-position model. The record is from RNAcentral.
GUAAGGAAUAUUGGACAAUGGACGCAAGUCUGAUCCAGCCAUGUCGCGUGAAGGAUUAAGGUCCUCUGGAUUGUAAACUUCUUUUAUAAGGGACGAAAAAAGGCUUUUCUAAGUCGUCUGACGGUACCUUAUGAAUAAGCACCGGCUAACUCCGUGCCAGCAGCCGCGGUAAUACGGAGGGUGCAAGCGUUAUCCGGAUUCACUGGGUUUAAAGGGUGCGUAGGCGGGCAGGUAAGUCAGUGGUGAAAUCCUAGAGCUUAACUCUAGAACUGCCAUUGAUACUAUCUGUCUUGAAUAUUGUGGAGGUAAGCGGAAUAUGUCAUGUAGCGGUGAAAUGCUUAGAUAUGACAUAGAACACCUAUUGCGAAGGCAGCUUACUACGCAUAUAUUGACGCUGAGGCACGAAAGCGUGGGGAUCAAACAGGAUUAGAAACCCGAGUAGUCC